GACGAACGCUGGCGGCGUGCUUAACACAUGCAAGUCGAACGGUGAAGGGACCAGCUUGCUGGUUCUGGAUGAGUGGCGAACGGGUGAGUAACACGUGAGUAACCUGCCCCCUUCUUCUGGAUAACCGCAUGAAAGUGUGGUUAAUACGGGAUAUUCUGGGUCUGUCGCAUGGCGGGCCCGGGAAAGAUAUUGCUUCGGUGGGGGAUGGGCUCGCGGCCUAUCAGCUUGUUGGUGGGGUGAUGGCCUACCAAGGCGGUGACGGGUAGCCGGCCUGAGAGGGUGGACGGUCACACUGGGACUGAGACACGGCCCAGACUCCUACGGGAGGCAGCAGUGGGGAAUAUUGCACAAUGGGCGCAAGCCUGAUGCAGCGACGCCGCGUGAGGGAUGGAGGCCUUCGGGUUGUAAACCUCUUUCGCCAGUGAAGCAGGCCUGCUCCUUGUGGGUGGGUUGACGGUAGCUGGAUAAGAAGCGCCGGCUAACUACGUG
This 489-nucleotide ribosomal RNA is filed under the name uncultured bacterium. RNAcentral's name for it is "partial 16S ribosomal RNA". It matches the Rfam family "Bacterial small subunit ribosomal RNA", at positions 28 to 507 of the family's 1533-position model. The record is from RNAcentral.